RNAcentral lists this non-coding RNA (31 nucleotides) under Mus musculus (house mouse). Lineage: Eukaryota; Metazoa; Chordata; Mammalia; Rodentia; Muridae. The record is from RNAcentral.
UAAAAAGAUAGGUUGGCACUCCCUGAGGGUU